This 423-nucleotide ribosomal RNA is filed under the name Actinobacteridae bacterium Ellin7213. Its description in RNAcentral is "bacterial SSU rRNA". It matches the Rfam family "Bacterial small subunit ribosomal RNA", at positions 28 to 456 of the family's 1533-position model. The record is from RNAcentral. Lineage: Bacteria; Bacillati; Actinomycetota; Actinomycetes.
GACGAACGCUGGCGGCGUGCUUAACACAUGCAAGUCGAACGGUGAAGCCCUUCGGGGUGGAUCAGUGGCGAACGGGUGAGUAACACGUGGGUAACCUGCCCCUCACUCUGGGAUAACUCCGGGAAACCGGGGCUAAUACCGGAUACGACCUCCUUGGGCAUCCUCGGAGGUGGAAAGUUUUUCGGUGAGGGAUGGACCCGCGGCCUAUCAGCUUGUUGGUGGGGUAAUGGCCUACCAAGGCUUUGACGGGUAGCCGGCCUGAGAGGGCGACCGGCCACACUGGGACUGAGACACGGCCCAGACUCCUACGGGAGGCAGCAGUGGGGAAUAUUGCACAAUGGGCGAAAGCCUGAUGCAGCGACGCCGCGUGAGGGAUGACGGCCUUCGGGUUGUAAACCUCUUUCAGCAGGGACGAAGCGCAAG